GCUAAGGCGUGGAUGGGACCCCCAGGGCCAGGGCUAGGGAACCUCGCCCUGCACCAGCCCCAGUCAGACGCCGCUCCUCCAACUACCGCGCUUAUGCCACGGAGCCGCAUGCCAAGAAAAAAUCUAAGAUCUCCGCCUCGAGAAAAUUGCAGCUGAAGACUCUGCUGCUGCAGAUUGCAAAGCAGGAGCUGGAGCGAGAGGCGGAGGAGCGGCGCGGAGAGAAGGGGCGCGCUCUGAGCACCCGCUGCCAGCCGCUGGAGUUGGCCGGGCUGGGCUUCGCGGAGCUGCAGGACUUGUGCCGACAGCUCCACGCCCGUGUGGACAAGGUGGAUGAAGAGAGAUACGACAUAGAGGCAAAAGUCACCAAGAACAUCACGGAGAUUGCAGAUCUGACCCAGAAGAUCUUUGACCUUCGAGGCAAGUUUAAGCGGCCCACCCUGCGGAGAGUGAGGAUCUCUGCAGAUGCCAUGAUGCAGG
This 477-nucleotide small RNA is filed under the name Pongo abelii (Sumatran orangutan). RNAcentral describes it as "processed transcript". Lineage: Eukaryota; Metazoa; Chordata; Mammalia; Primates; Hominidae. The record is from RNAcentral.